Dreissena polymorpha is the source of this 670-nucleotide long non-coding RNA. RefSeq lists it as uncharacterized. The transcript is spliced from 2 exons. The record is from RefSeq and is a predicted model, not a curated record. Lineage: Eukaryota; Metazoa; Mollusca; Bivalvia; Myida; Dreissenidae.
CAUAGAUGGUGACGUCACUUCAGUAUUGUGAGUAAGACCGGUGUGUACACAAUGUCUCAGAAAGACGUUUUACGUGUGAUUAUGAGCAAUAUUCUGAAGCUGUUCUGCGAAGCCGAAGGCAAGAGCUGAGCAUCAUACAAGCCAUUCUAUCCAGCAAAACUGACAGUUUUUGUUUACAGAAAUCAACAAAGGAGGGAUUCCUGAUCUAUCAAAUUUCCAAGCUAUACACACAGUUAUUAUCAUGUAGGUUGAUGAUUGUGUUUUAGUUUUACUUAUUUUGUAACUAUUAUUUUAUGUGCAAAUAAAUGAUGUGAAGUGUUUUGUAUCUCCACACAAUACCACAUACCUUUUUAUAUAUGUACUGUGUUAUGUGUUAUUUGAAUGUUUAAAUAAAAAAAAAUGGAUGAUAUAACAUGAUGCAUUCUAAUAUUUGCAUUCAUAUUGUAACUAUAGAGCUAAGUGUAUGCAGUUUAGACUGUGAUUUUAGAAUUGCUACAAAAUGGCUAGUUUUUUAGUGGCGACAAAAUUUAAACUAUUCAACAAUAGUUUGCGAAAGAAAAUUAGAAACCUGCAAGAUACCUGUAUUUAUUAAAUAUUUUAAUUGCGAAUCAAGUAUGUUGUUAUGCUGUUACACAUAAUUAUACAUUGAUAAUAAAUAAGAAGACAAUUA